CCAGUGAUAACCUGGAGGAAGGUGGGGAUGACGUUCAAGUCAUCAUGGCCCUUACUGAGUAGGGCUACACACGUGCUACAAUGGCGUGAUACAGAGGGCAAGCCAUAUGGCUGACGAUGGAGCAUAUUCUCCAGUAAAGUACACGUUCUCAGUNCCGGAUUGUGAGUCUGCAACUCGACCUANCAUGAAGUCGGAAUCGCUAGUAUCGCANAUCAGA
RNAcentral lists this ribosomal RNA (217 nucleotides) under uncultured bacterium. RNAcentral describes it as "partial 16S ribosomal RNA". It matches the Rfam family "Bacterial small subunit ribosomal RNA", at positions 1152 to 1353 of the family's 1533-position model. The record is from RNAcentral.